CCUUGGUGUGGCAGGGUCGCUUCAUGCCCUCUAGGAGCUCAAAGAACAGGGACAGUUAGGACGGUAAGAUGGGGAGGGGUCUCUAGGAAGCGUGGAGAUUUGUCUGCAGCUAUAUGGGACUGGGAAUGUGGGAUCGAGGAGAAGCCGCCCCUAGAUUGCUCCCUCUUUUCCGCAGAAGAAUUUAACCCGAACCUGAAUCAGUCCAGCAACAGCCCCUCCUUCCUCCAGUUCCGAGGUGUACUUGAACCAGAGCUUGGGACGCGUUCAACAACUCGCCUUCCCCAUUUCCCUAUCCUUGUCCCCUCUCCCGUCCCCUUACAGACGCACCCCUUCCCCCACCUCCAGGCUCGCAUACAGCAGUCCCCAACCCCAAUCCAACGUUCCACUUACUCUUUCCACGGGGCUCCCCCGGAGCAAUUAAAACUCUACGGACCCCCGAUUAUCUGUGUUAUGAUUGCUAUAGAUUUCCUGCGUCCUAGGGGUGCGAGGACCUGGCCUUGCCCUCCCGCCUCCCCUGAACUCCGAGCUUCGGCCAAUAAAAGGGAUAUCACAGCGGGGCGACAGCAGCCGGGAUCCGAAACCUGCUUCUGUCCCUCUGCCCCAGCAUUGAAACCUAGGCUGCCUUUCUCUGCUCUGGUUGGGUUUCGUUCAUGCAUUUUGACUUACACUCCAUUUUUUUCUUUUUCCCUAUUUGGAGAAAAUGCCACCGGGGAGGGGGCUGGAGAGGAGAGAAGCUCUAUCAUGGCCGAAUCAGUUCUAUGGAGAUUCCUAGUCUCACAGCGCACCCUAGUGGACCAUCAGCGCCUCCACGCCUCCUCCCCUCAUCCCCCACCCCCUUCCCCGCUGUAGUCAGCCAGCCAUUCGCUUCAAUCUCCUGGUUUAUUACAAUCUGCAAUAUAUUACUUUCUUCCAAAGUAUUGACAACGUGCGAGAGACUCGAGCAACCCUGGGCCGCUCUCCUGUAAUCAGCAUAUUUAUUCCCGUUUAUAUGGAAAGGGAAAAAAAUCUGGAUUAAAUCCCCGUGACCUAUAUUCAGUUCCAGUGUCACUCUUGCUGGAUCCUCUUUAAACCCACUCCACACUGCUUCUCUGUCUAUUACAUGCUAAUUUAAUUUUACUAUGGACGAUAUUUUCAGCAUUUGCUGAGGACAGUAAAUUUUGUAGUUUAUGUUAUUUCACUUUUUAUGACUUUUUAACACUUAAUAAAAUUUUAUUAGAGCACUUUUGUGUUUACA
RNAcentral lists this long non-coding RNA (1234 nucleotides) under Monodelphis domestica (gray short-tailed opossum). RNAcentral's name for it is "lncRNA (ENSMODG00000036281.2)". The record is from RNAcentral. Lineage: Eukaryota; Metazoa; Chordata; Mammalia; Didelphimorphia; Didelphidae.